RNAcentral lists this ribosomal RNA (468 nucleotides) under uncultured bacterium. RNAcentral describes it as "partial 16S ribosomal RNA". It matches the Rfam family "Bacterial small subunit ribosomal RNA", at positions 28 to 507 of the family's 1533-position model. The record is from RNAcentral.
GACGAACGCUGGCGGCGUGCUUAACACAUGCAAGUCGAACGGAAAGGCCCUGCUUUUGUGGGGUGCUCGAGUGGCGAACGGGUGAGUAACACGUGAGUAACCUGCCCUUGACUUUGGGAUAACUUCAGGAAACUGGGGCUAAUACCGGAUAGGAGCUCCUGCUGCAUGGUGGGGGUUGGAAAGUUUCGGCGGUUGGGGAUGGACUCGCGGCUUAUCAGCUUGUUGGUGGGGUAGUGGCUUACCAAGGCUUUGACGGGUAGCCGGCCUGAGAGGGUGACCGGCCACAUUGGGACUGAGAUACGGCCCAGACUCCUACGGGAGGCAGCGGUGGGGAAUAUUGCACAAUGGGCGGAAGCCUGAUGCAGCAACGCCGCGUGCGGGGUGACGGCCUUCGGGUUGUAAACCGCAUUCGCCUGUGACGAAGCGUGAGUGACGGUAAUGGGUAAAGAAGCACCGGCUAACUACGUG